This 74-nucleotide transfer RNA is filed under the name Pseudomonadota bacterium. RNAcentral describes it as "tRNA-Pro". It matches the Rfam family "tRNA". From Rfam's summary of the family: Transfer RNA (tRNA) molecules are approximately 80 nucleotides in length. Their secondary structure includes four short double-helical elements and three loops (D, anti-codon, and T loops). RNAcentral also lists the same sequence under 2 other names. Lineage: Bacteria; Pseudomonadati; Pseudomonadota. The record is from RNAcentral.
CGGGACGUGGCGCAGCUUGGUAGCGCGCAGCGUUCGGGACGCUGAGGUCGCGGGUUCGAAUCCCGCCGUCCCGA